UUUCUAUGGAGAUGAGUCUAGCCCCUCGGGGGAGGAGUGAUGGAUGUGUAAUCUCCAAGAUAAGUAACUGACAGACCUGUUCUUUGCCUGGAGUGUAUCCCAGAACCAUGAUCAGUCAGGAACUAUGGAUUGCCUCAACUGGUCAGACUGUGAAACAUCAGAGUGCUUAGUCCCACCCUCCAGCAACAGCUCAAGGUAUAACUAACAUGUCUUAAACAUACUGGAGUUGAUCUUCAUGGCCCAUCUUAAUUCUGGUGAAAAUGUCCCUUCUUAUCUUACAAAAGCUGCCUAUAUGGUUCGAGGCUGCAGAUUCAACCCCUCAGCC
This is a long non-coding RNA of Lutra lutra (Eurasian river otter), 325 nucleotides long. RefSeq lists it as uncharacterized. Lineage: Eukaryota; Metazoa; Chordata; Mammalia; Carnivora; Mustelidae. The transcript has 3 exons. The record is from RefSeq and is a predicted model, not a curated record.